AACGAACGCUGGCGGCAUGCCUAACACAUGCAAGUCGAACGGGAUCCUGGCUUCGGUCAGGUGAGAGUGGCGGACGGGUGAGUAACGCGUGGGAACCUGCCCAGUGGUGGGGGAUAACUGCGGGAAACUGCAGCUAAUACCGCAUGAGCCCGAGAGGGGAAAGAUUUAUCGCCAUUGGAGGGGCCCGCGUUCGAUUAGGUAGUUGGUGAGGUAACGGCUCACCAAGCCGACGAUCGAUAGCUGGUCUGAGAGGAUGAUCAGCCACACUGGGACUGAGAUACGGCCCAGACUCCUACGGGAGGCAGCAGUGGGGGAAUAUUGGACAAUGGGGGGCAACCCUGAUCCAGCAAUGCCGCGUGAGUGAUGAAGGCCUUCGGUUGUAAAGGCUCUUUUGUCCGGGGACGAGUGAUGACGGUACCCGGAG
RNAcentral lists this ribosomal RNA (424 nucleotides) under uncultured bacterium. RNAcentral's name for it is "bacterial SSU rRNA". It matches the Rfam family "Bacterial small subunit ribosomal RNA", at positions 29 to 484 of the family's 1533-position model. The record is from RNAcentral.